Molecule: unclassified non-coding RNA, 220 nt
Filed under: uncultured Ascomycota
Lineage: Eukaryota; Fungi; Ascomycota
Description: sequence contains ITS1
Source: RNAcentral
ACAUUUUUGGAGCGGCCUUCGGGCCCGUCCUCCAUAAACCCACCUCUGUGUACCUUCUCCUGUUGCUUCCGCGGGACAUCGGGGUUCGGCCCCGGACGUCGGCGAGGAGGCUCUCCUUCUCGGGAGGGUUCUUCCGAGCCCGGCGGAGCGCCCGCGGGAGGUUAAUCAGAAACCAUUUUGCAACCCAUAGCUUCUGUCUGAAUGAAUAAACAUAAAAGUU